This 253-nucleotide ribosomal RNA is filed under the name uncultured bacterium. RNAcentral's name for it is "partial 16S ribosomal RNA". It matches the Rfam family "Bacterial small subunit ribosomal RNA", at positions 524 to 776 of the family's 1533-position model. The record is from RNAcentral.
CACGUAGGGCGCAAGCGUUGUCCGGAAUUAUUGGGCGUAAAGAGCUCGUAGGCGGUCUGUUACGUCUGCUGUGAAAACCCAGGGCUUAACCCUGGGCUUGCAGUGGAUACGGGCAGACUAGAGGCAGGUAGGGGAGAAUGGAAUUCCCGGUGUAGCGGUGAAAUGCGCAGAUAUCGGGAGGAACACCGAUGGCGAAGGCAGGUCUCUGGGCCACUACUGACGCUGAGAAGCGAAAGCAUGGGGAGCGAACAGG